UUUCCGUAGGUGAACCUGCGGAAGGAUCAUUAUUGUAUAGCCGAGGUGCGAGGGCUGUCGCUGACCCGAAAGGUCGUGCACGCCCGAGUGCCCUCACACACAUCCAUCUCACCCCUAUGUGCACCACCGCGUGGGACCCCCUUUGGCUUGUUCGGAGGGGGGCUUACGUUUUCACACAAACUUUGUAUGCAGUGUAGAAUGUAUUUUUUGUUUUUGCGAUCACGCAAUCAAUACAACUUUCAACAACGGAUCUCUUGGCUCUC
RNAcentral lists this unclassified non-coding RNA (263 nucleotides) under plant metagenome. RNAcentral describes it as "partial contains small subunit ribosomal RNA, internal transcribed spacer 1, and 5.8S ribosomal RNA". The record is from RNAcentral.